Molecule: long non-coding RNA, 1883 nt
Organism: Cucurbita moschata (crookneck pumpkin)
Lineage: Eukaryota; Viridiplantae; Streptophyta; Magnoliopsida; Cucurbitales; Cucurbitaceae
Exons: 4
Source: RefSeq, a predicted model, not a curated record
UCUUAACUUAUGUCUUAAGCAGUGUACAAGGCAAGUUCUUUGGGUCUUAAGCAAUUCUUUUCGCGGUAGUACAAGGUCUUCCUCAAUUCUUGUAACAUCCCUUAAUCGUCCAUAAUCCUUAUAAUCAGCCUGGGUGGCCGUUGGUUCUUAAUUUAUGUCUUAAGCAGUGUACAAGGCAGGUUCUUUGGGACUCUAGCUCUUCUUUUCUCGGUAUUACAAGGUCUUCCUUAAUCCUUGUAACAUCCCUUGGUCGUCCAUAAUCCUUAUAAUCAGCCCUGGUGGCCGUUAGUUCUUAACUUAUGUCUUAAGGUAUGUACAACGCAGGUUCUUUGGGUCUUAAGCUCUUCUUUUCUCGGUAUUACAAGGUCUUUCUUAAUCCUUGUAACAUCCCUUGGUCGUCCAUAAUCCUUAUAAUCAGCCCUUGUGGCCGUUAAUUCUUAACUUCUGUCUUAAGGCGUGUACAAGGCGGGUUCUUUGGGUUUUAAGCUCUUCUUUUCUCGGUAUUACAAGGUCUUCCUUAAUCCUUGUAACAUCCCUUGGUCGUCCAUAAUCCUCAUAAUCAGCUCUUGUAGCCGUUAGUUCUUAACUUAUGUCUUAAAGCGUGUACAAGGCAGGUUCUUUGGGUCUUAAGCUCUUCUUUUCUCGGUAUUACAAGGUCUUCCGUAAUCCUUGUAACAUCUCUUAGUCGUCGUCCAUAAUCCUUAUAAUCAGCCUUGGUGGCCGUUAGUUCUUAACUUAUGUCUUAAGUAGUGUACAAGGCAGGUUCUUUGGGUCUUAUGCUCUUCUUUUCUCGGUAUUGCAAGAUCUUCCUUAAUCCUUGUAACAUCCCUUGGUCAUCCAUAAUCCUUAUAAUCAGCCCUGGUGGCCGUUAGUCCUUAACUUAUGUCUUAUGCAGUGUACAAGGCAGGUUCUUUGGGUCGUCCAUAAUCCUUAUAAUCAGCCCUGGUGGCCGUUAGUCCUUAACUUAUGUCUUAUGCAGUGUACAAGGCAGGUUCUUUGGGUCUUAAGCUCUUCUUUUCUCGGUAUUACAAGUUCUUCCUUAAUCCUUGUAACAUCCCAUGGUCGUCCAUAAUCCUUAUAAUCAGCCCUGGUGGCCGUUAGUUCUUAACUUAUGUCUUAAGCAGUGUACAAGGCAUGUUCUUUGGGUCUUAAGCUCUUCUUUUCUCGGUAUUACAAGGUCUUUCUUAAUCCUUGUAACAUCCCUUGGUCGUCCAUAAUCCUUAUAGUCAGCCCUAGUGGCCUUUGUUCUUAACUUAUGUCCUAAGGCGUGUACAAGGGAGGGUUUUUGGGUCUUAAGCUCUUCUUUUCUCGGUAUUACAAGGUCUUCCUUAAUCCUUAUAACAUCCCUUGGUCGUUCAUAAUCCUUAUAAUUAAGUCCUUGUCGCCGUUAGUUCUUAACAAGUCUUAAGGCAUGUACUGGUUCCAAGAUUUGUUCCUUUCGAUUGUCUUCUCAACAUCCUUUGUUGAGAUUAUCAUGUCUUAUAUUAGAUGUAUUUAUUCCUUUCUGUAUAACAUGGGUUCUUUUGGUCUUAAGUUCUUCUUUUCUUGAUAUUAAAGUCUUUCCUUAAUCCUUGUAACUACCGUUGGCCUUUCAUAAUCCUUACAAUUUGCCCUUGUAGCCUUUAGUUCUUAUCUUAUUCCCUAAGACAUUUUCUCGUUCCGGCAUUUGUUCAUUUUAACUGUCUUCUCAACAUCCUUGUUGAAAUUGACAAGUCUUAGGUUGUUUGUGUCUUCUCAACAUCCUUUGUUGAAAUUGAUAAGUCUUAGGUUGUUUGGGUUUUAAGUUCUUUUGUCGGUAUUACUAGGCUUUUCUUAAUCCUUGUAACUACUCUUGGCUUUCCAUAAUCCUUAUAAUCAUACCUUUAGUUCUUAACUUAAUCUCG